CCCUAUUAUUUUAGAACGUUAAGGUUUGUGCUUGAGUAGUAUUAGUUAUGUUCUUGAAACUUAAAGAAUUUGGCGGUAUCUCAUUCCGUUCAGAGGAAUCUGUCUCGUUAUCGAUAGUCCGCGUUGGACCUUACUUGGUUUGGUGUUAAAUAGGGUUUGUAUACCGCCGUUUAUUGAUUAUCUUUUUAGAGUUUAUUUAAUUUUCUAGUUUCUCUAUUUGGAUUUAUUUCAGGUCAAGGUGCAGCUUGUUUCUAAGUGGAUGAUGGAUUACAUUUUUAUUUGUUUUGUUGGAUUGUUGAUUUUAAUAUUAGCAUGAAAUUGGAUUUGGUUGUAAUGAUUUGUAGAUUGUUAUUGUGAUAAUUGGUUCUGGGAUAUGUACACAUCGCCCGUCGCUCUCGUUUAAUUGUUAAUGAGAUAAGUC
This 421-nucleotide ribosomal RNA is filed under the name Verrucositermes tuberosus. RNAcentral describes it as "partial 12S ribosomal RNA". The record is from RNAcentral. Lineage: Eukaryota; Metazoa; Arthropoda; Insecta; Blattodea; Termitidae.